This is a long non-coding RNA of Ailuropoda melanoleuca (giant panda), 1533 nucleotides long. NCBI's taxonomy places the organism in Eukaryota, Metazoa, Chordata, Mammalia, Carnivora, Ursidae. The record is from Ensembl.
AUGGCCAAGCUCAGUGUUAUUGAAAAGAUAAAGUUAUAUGAAAUAACACAUGCAGAAGUCUGGUCUGUGAGAAUCAGACAUGUAGGAAGGGAUUCAAAUCUAUUGGUAGCCAUCAACAUCAUCCCCAUCAUCACCAGUAUCAACAGCAUCAGCAUCAGCACCACCAUCAUCACCACUGCCAACGGCAUCAGCAUCAGCACCACCAUCAUCACCAGUGUCAACGGCAUCAGCAUCAGCACCACCAUCAUCACCGUGGCCAACGGCAUCAGCAUCAGCACCACCAUCAUCACCACUGCCAACGGCAUCAGCAUCAGCACCACCAUCAUCACCACUGCCCAACGGCAUCAGCAUCAGCACCACCAUCAUCACCACUGCCAACGGCAUCAGCAUCACCACCACCAUCAUCACCCCUGCCAACGGCAUCACCACCACCAUCAUCACCACUGCCAACGGCAUCAGCAUCAGCACCACCAUCAUCACCGCUGCCAACGGCAUCAGCAUCAGCACCACCAUCAUCACCACUGCCAACGGCAUCAGCAUCAGCACCACCAUCAUCACCACUGCCAACGGCAUCAGCAUCAGCACCACCAUCAUCACCACUGCCAACGGCAUCAGCAUCAGCACCACCAUCAUCACCACUGCCAACGGCAUCAGCAUCAGCACCACCAUCAUCACCACUGCCAACGGCAUCAGCAUCAGCACCACCAUCAUCACCACUGCCAACGGCAUCAGCAUCAGCACCACCAUCAUCACCACUGCCAACGGCAUCAGCAUCAGCACCACCAUCAUCACCACUGCCAACGGCAUCAGCAUCAGCACCACCAUCAUCACCACUGCCAACGGCAUCAGCAUCAGCACCACCAUCAUCACCACUGCCAACGGCAUCAGCAUCAGCACCACCAUCAUCACCACUGCCAACGGCAUCAGCAUCAGCACCACCAUCAUCACCACUGCCAACGGCAUCAGCAUCAGCACCACCAUCAUCACCACUGCCAACGGCAUCAGCAUCAGCACCACCAUCAUCACCACUGCCAACGGCAUCAGCAUCAGCACCACCAUCAUCACCACUGCCAACGGCAUCAGCAUCAGCACCACCAUCAUCACCACUGCCAACGGCAUCAGCAUCAGCACCACCAUCAUCACCACUGCCAACGGCAUCAGCAUCAGCACCACCAUCAUCACCACUGCCAACGGCAUCAGCAUCAGCACCACCAUCAUCACCACUGCCAACGGCAUCAGCAUCAGCACCACCAUCAUCACCACUGCCAACGGCAUCAGCAUCAGCACCACCAUCAUCACCACUGCCAAUGGCAUCAGCAUCAGCACCACCAUCAGCACCACCAUCAUCAACACCAGCAUGGUCAUCGCCACCACCACCACCACCAUCUACACCAUCAGAGUCACCACCACGUGAGGCACCGGACGGACACUCGUAAGCUACCCAUGACCAGCUCAGAUAUUCAGCAUCAUAGAGGAUACACCCAAGGGAAAAUAAUCCCAGGAGAAACAGCUGCAGUAGUACAUGAGCUAUAA